AACAGAACCCAGCAGCGUGAAGAAAUUUCUCUGAAUCCCCCCCCCCCCCCCGCGUCUCCUUCAUGUGCAAAAUUUCCCAACGAUCUUCUUCUUCCCCUUCAACGACGCGCCUCACGCAAGCGUAAGCAACAAAUUUUGUGUCGUCUUCCUCCUUCACCCGUACAGCAGUGCGCUCGCGUAGCUCUGCAGUAGGGAAGGCUGCAAAUUCCGUCCUUGUAGCGUAGGAUCACUCCACGUAAUGGUGCAAGGACACGCGAUUGAUCCAAGCCCUCUACAUAUGCUCCCUUUCCGUUGGAAUGGGACGAAUUCGAGAGCAUCUUCAGGGCAUAUUCCCUCAACCUUUGGAUAAGAUUUGGGAAUUGGUUUUUCGAAUUUUAAUGGGCCUGAAAGGGCAUCUGCCAGCCCUCUCCCUUGAAGAACCCUAAUUUUUUUUCUAUAUAAACGUCCAUCUUCUUCAGAAAAGGGGUUGGAAAAAAAUGGAUUGAGAUUUCCUCAGAAGGUUGUUCUAUUGUUUUUUUCUGUUCGAUUUUUUUUCGAGAGUAGCGCUCAAUCUGUCUUAGAAAGGUUUACCAAAAACGUAAUAAGCACAGAGAUAAACAAAGGGAAUUGAGAAGAAAUCGAGAGAUACGUUCUGUUUCAUCUCAGUGUGUUCGACUGUGGUAUUCCAUUGAAACGUCGUAGCCGUCGUUCGUGUUUGCUUUCGGCGUGGAAGCUCAUCCUUGUUUAGCUCGAAUCCCAAGUAUCGCAGCUCAUCAACAGGUAAACACCCCAUUUACGUAAUCUUCUUCGCCUCUUGGUUUCAAUGUGAUGGAUUAAGGGUUGAAAACCUUUGUUGUGUGUCUGCUGGAUUGUUUGUCACUAUUGGAUCGACAUUACAUGAUGUGUGUUCUGGAGUUUUUUUUUUUAUAUAUAUAACUCAUGUGUUUCUGUUAGAUUCAUUAAGUAAAUACAGUAGCCGGUUAGAGCUUGGAAGUCCGAUAGCUUUAUCAAAGAUGAUAUUCUGUUAUUCUUCCUUAUUGAGCAUGUUUUCCUUAAUAUAGUUGAAUCUGAACUGAUGCUUAACAUUCGAUGUCUUAUCCUUUAUUCUUUCACCUCAAGUUGAAAGAAUGAAUUGAGAUGUCAAAAUUUGGAUUUUACCUGUGGUGCUUUUGAUUGUUCGAAGUUUAUGUGUUGCACCUUCGUCUCGUCUAAAUGAUUUUGUGGUUCAGAGAUGAUUCUCAAGUUCAGCUCCUAGCAGAAGUACGUCAUUGAUUUUAGGUUGGGUUUAUGGUUUAGUCUUAUUUCAGAAGGUUUACAACCUUAAAAGGUUGAUUUUACACUUUUUUUUGGCUUUAAAUACAUAUCUGUUUGUUUGAACAUUUGUGUUAAACCUUAUAUUGUGCUUUUUGUUGCCUUGGUUUGCUUGCUGCUUUGCAUAAAGUUGGAGAAAUGCUAAAAAUAGAUAAAAAGAAAAUCUGUCUUUUUGUUCUCGUGUCUAUUUUUAGCAAAAACAGUGGCAUGUUUUUUUUGUUGAUAUGUUUAUCGUUAUAUCUAGUCCGUGUAGGGCCAUGUUGCUAGAAAAUAGGAUAUGUAUUUCCAUACAUGUGUGCUCCUUUGAAUUAGCUCAGAAAUCGCCAAGCGCAUUGUAGAUUCUGCAGUUGUAUUUGAAUACUUUGGCGUGUAAUUUUUAAAUAGCUAUAGGUAAAUUGUUCUAUUCCUGCUUUUAAAUAGGUUGCUCUAUAAUCGUGUAUGUUACUGCUAAUGUGGGUUUUGAAGUUGCUCUAUAGCAUGAAAAAAUGAUUUUUCCGUUGGCUUGAAAAUUAUUGCUAAAUCAGUUCAAUCUUAGAUGUCGUACGAUUUUGCUAACUAAAAAAUGAUUUCCUUGUUCCGGUUGGAAAUGGGUUUGUUUUCUACAUGUUAAAGAAGAGCAUUAGAUCAGAUUUUUUUUAUAUUCCAUUUUUAUUUUGUUUUGCUUUAUUUAAUUCUCAAUUAGUAUGAAUUUGGUCCACAAUUUUAGAUUUGGCUUGGCAUUAUUAUCGUUUUCUUUGUUUUAUGUCAUGUUUUUUUUGUUAUGUGUGCAAGAGUUGCUGUUGAGAUUUGAUAAUGGUGGGUAUGAUUCAUUAAUGUUUGCAUGUGUUGUUAUAAUAAAAUAGUACCUUGGAAAUUGUGAACUUGUGUGUUGCAAUAAUUGAUAUUAAUUUUGCCUAAGAAGUGGAACAUCGCACUAAUGUUUUUUUUUUGUUUUUGUACGAAAUUUAUCCGAGUUCUUUAUGAACUCCCAUUUUCCCUCGCUUCGCAACGGAGCCAUUGAGGCUCGACAUCUACAUCGAGUCAACCCAUCAAGGCCGACGUACCAUGUAAAAUGAUUGAAGAUUGAAGAAAUUUUGAAGAAGGCGGAUUAAAAGAUUUUUUUUAUUUGUUAUGUUGUAUUUAUUUUGGGCAUAAGCCUUUGUCGUUUUUUACCUUUCUUGUAUUUAUUUUGUAUGCUUAGACUAGGACAGGUGAAGUGGAUCGAAAACCCAAACGAGAAAUGGGUUAAAAACCCAAAAAACAGGUGGAUCCAAAUUUCGGUCAAGGCGGACAGAACCCGAAAUUAGACCCAAUCUCUUUCUCUCUCUCUCUCUCCCUCCUUUACUAUAUCGUUUACCUGCCUUCGUUUGGUAGUCGUUAGCUUAGAGUUAGAAAACUCCGACCCCAUCGAACGUCAUACUAUUUUAUCAAACCUAAAAUUAAUUUGAAUAUUAAAGCGAUAAUUUUCCGAACUCGUAAGUCUCGCCUAAUUUAAAUUUUAGGAAGUUUAACUUCAAAUAAAAUUCGCAAAUUUUAAAACAAAUAUUAGUCAAAUGGUUAGUUGCCGGAAAGCCGCAUUAAGCGGAAUGUCUUUGGUGCCUUCAAAACC
Molecule: long non-coding RNA, 2878 nt
Filed under: Solanum lycopersicum (tomato)
Lineage: Eukaryota; Viridiplantae; Streptophyta; Magnoliopsida; Solanales; Solanaceae
Description: partial TCONS_00119197
Source: RNAcentral